GAUGAAGAACGUAGCGAAAUGCGAUAAGUAAUGCGAAUUGCAGAAUUCAGUGAGUCAUCGAAUCUUUGAACGCACAUUGCGCCCUGUGGUAUUCCGCAGGGCAUGCCUGUUCGAGCGUCAUUUCAACCCUCAAGCCUCGCUUGGUGUUGGGCCCUGCCCGCCGCGGCCGGCCCUAAAGAUAGUGGCGGCGCCGCCUGGCCCUCAGCGUAGUACAGCUCUCGCUCCAGGGUCCGGCGGCAGCCUGCCAGAACCCCCCAACUCUGUGGUUGACCUCGGAUCAGGUAGGGAUACCCGCUGAACUUAAGCAUAUCAUAAGCGGAGGA
RNAcentral lists this unclassified non-coding RNA (323 nucleotides) under soil metagenome. RNAcentral describes it as "partial contains 5.8S ribosomal RNA, internal transcribed spacer 2, and large subunit ribosomal RNA". The stretch from base 1 to 120 matches the Rfam family "5.8S ribosomal RNA", at positions 35 to 154 of the family's 154-position model. The record is from RNAcentral.